RNAcentral lists this ribosomal RNA (253 nucleotides) under uncultured Alkaliflexus sp. Its description in RNAcentral is "partial 16S ribosomal RNA". It matches the Rfam family "Bacterial small subunit ribosomal RNA", at positions 524 to 776 of the family's 1533-position model. The record is from RNAcentral. Lineage: Bacteria; Pseudomonadati; Bacteroidota; Bacteroidia; Marinilabiliales; Marinilabiliaceae.
UACGGAGGAUCCAAGCGUUAUCCGGAUUUAUUGGGUUUAAAGGGUGCGUAGGCGGACCCUUAAGUCAGUGGUGAAAGUUUGCAGCUCAACUGUAAAAUUGCCAUUGAUACUGGUUUUCUUGAGUACAGUUGAGGUAGGCGGAAUGUGGUGUGUAGCGGUGAAAUGCUUAGAUAUACCACAGAACACCGAUUGCGAAGGCAGCUUACUAAGUUGUGACUGACGCUGAAGCACGAAAGCAUGGGGAUCAAACAGG